AGAGUUUGAUCAUGGCUCAGGACGAACGCUGGCGGCGCGCUUAACACAUGCAAGUCGAGCGAGAACCAGGGCUUCGGCCCUGGGGACAGCGGCGAACGGGUGAGUAACACGUGGAUAACCUGCCCUCGGCACCGGGAUAGCCCGGGGAAACCCGGAUUAAUACCGGAUGGCCCCUCCGGCUUUCGAGCCGGUCGGAAAAGGUAGCUUCGGCCUCCGGCCGAGGAUGGGUCCGCGGCGGAUUAGCUUGUUGGUGGGGUAACGGCCUACCAAGGUUCCGAUCCGUAGCUGGUCUGAGAGGACGAUCAGCCACACUGGGACUGAGACACGACCCAGACUCCUACGGGAGGCAGCAGUGGGGAAUCUUGCGCAAUGGGCGAAAGCCUGACGCAGCGACGCUGCGUGAGGGAGGAAGGCCUUCGGGUUGUAAACUUCUUUCAGGAGGGACGAAGCUACUCGGGUGAAUAGCCCAGAGGGUGACGGUACCUCUAGAAGAAGCCCCGGCUAACUACGUGCCAGCAGCCGCGGUAAUACGUAGGGGGCAAGCGUUGUCUGGAUUUACUGGGCGUAAAGAGCGUGUAGGCGGCCGAACAGGUCUGUUGUGAAAACUGGAGGCUUAACCUCCAGACGUCGACGGAAACUCGUGCGGCUAGAGUCUCGGAAGAGGAGAGUGGAAUUUCUGGUGUAGCGGUGAAAUGCGCAGAUAUCAGGAAGAACACCAAUGGCGAAUGGCAGCUCUCUGGGACGGUACUGACGCUGAGACGCGAAAGCGUGGGGAGCGAACAGGAUUAGAUACUCUGGUAGUCCACGCCGUAACGAUGGGUGCUAGGUGUGGGAGGUGUCGACUUCUUUCCGUGCCGUAGCUAACGCAUUAAGCAUCUCGCUUGGGGAGUACGGUGCAAGGCUAAACUCAAGGAAUUG
This 918-nucleotide ribosomal RNA is filed under the name uncultured bacterium. RNAcentral describes it as "bacterial SSU rRNA". It matches the Rfam family "Bacterial small subunit ribosomal RNA", at positions 8 to 912 of the family's 1533-position model. The record is from RNAcentral.